Molecule: long non-coding RNA, 692 nt
Filed under: Homo sapiens (human)
Lineage: Eukaryota; Metazoa; Chordata; Mammalia; Primates; Hominidae
Description: non-protein coding lnc-SBDS-1:3
Source: RNAcentral
CUGUAAUCCACCAAGCGACUGAACUCAUCCACUGCGUAGAUGAUGAAAUGGAGGCAUACAGAGUACAAAUGAAAUUUGCGGCCGGGCAUGGUGGCUCACUCCUGUAGUCCCAGCACUUUGGGAGGCCGAGGCAGGUGGAUCACGUGAGGUCAGGAGACCAGUAUGGCCAACAUGGUGAAACCCCGUCUCUACUAAAAAUACAAAAAUUAGCCAGGCAUGGUGGCAGGCACGUGUAAUCCUAGCCUCUCGGGAGGCUGAGGCAGGAGAAUGCUUGAACCUGGGAGGCGGAAAUUGUAGUGAGCUGAGACCAUGCCAUUGCACUCCAACCUGGGCAACAAGAGCAAGACUCCAUCUCAAAAAAAAAGAAGAAGAAAAGAAAUUUGUGGCUGGGGGCAGUGGCUCACGCCUGUAAUUCCACCAUUUAGAGAGGUGGAGGUGGGAGGAUCACUUGAAACCACGAGUUCGAGACCAGCCUGGGUAACAUAGUGAGACACCCCCCCCCCCAACCAACUCUAUUUUUUUAAAAAAAGAAAUUUGCCCAAAAUUACCCAAAGAAGCAUCAGUGCCAGAUUUUGAACCCAGGCAAGCCAGCUCCUAAUCCUAAACCCAACCUGCUAACCACUAGGUUCUCCUGUCUCCCAGUAAGCCACUCCCUGUCCAUGACCUGGACAUUAGUAAUUGCUGGCUACCAG